UUCGCUUUUGGAUACCAUGAAAAGGCAUUGGUAUGAAUUUUAGUUUAUCUCAUAAACAUAAAAACUUCUUACAUUUGCUGUAAUGCCAUAAUAAGCUGCCAAAUGCCAUGAUUGACAGCUCUGUGUGCAGUGCUCUGUUAACCCAAGAGUGAUUGUCCCGUUUGUUUCUUACCAGCAAGUAAAAAGUGUGUUCAGAUCAUCAGUACUAUGGGUCUGAGAGACACUCUGUACUGGUCAGACUCUUGGCUUCAUUGGCAUCACCAGCCCAAGAUGUGAGGGCUGCUUUGGCUUCAUCUUUGUACCACAAAACAGUCAGGCUCUCGUUGUUAUGUGGCGUCAAAUGACAGCUUGUGUCUGUAUGUUUUUGCAUAUAUUCAUCUUCUACAUCCACACUACUCACGUGACCUUCGGAGUCGUCUCAAUUGGGUUAAUCGGCCUUGAAAACAAACUGGAGGAAAAAGGAACAGUGGGCGAGGAGCGGGAAGAAGCAGCCUUUGUUUACACACCUUUCUGCAGCAACAGCAACAAAACAAACCUGGUUUGGUUUUGUUGUUGCAGCUCCACACCGUGUGGAUACGUGGUGACAUCUGUUCAGGAAUCCCUGCUCAUACACCUGAAAGGCUUUGGCGCUCAUCUGAAAUAGAGAGAUUAAUAAAUGUCCUCUGACUGCUUUGUGAUUAAAAAAAAGACACGCCAGAUGUGUGUGUGUGUGCAUGCAUCCCCAUUGCCACAAUAUGCUGUGCGUUAUCUCCACACAGCCACCUGUUUAUAUGAAGGGAGUCAACAAACGUCAUAUGAAUUCCAAUAAAGCGCACCCUCAGAGUGCACACACUUCAUUAUCAUGGAGCUAGAGACUGUUCACUGUAAUCUAAAUCCCUUAUUUAAAAACUGUGUGUGUGUGUGUAAGAGAGACAGGAGGACAGCAGUGAGGGGGGAGAUUAAAACUGACAUAUUUUAGUGGUUUUAGGGGCAGUGUGCAGAGAGGGGUUAAGAUAGUGGGUCCUUGAUGUGAGCACAGGAUUGAUUGCUGGGUUAAUUAGCGAGAACCGUGCUCGUCAUUGAAGUGAAGGGUAGAUCAGAGGUUUGUCAGAUUGAGGGAAAAACACUGACAGGACACUUCAAUUCGAGUCCUGGACUUGUGGUCGUGGUCUUCUCUUAAAAGCCCUCCUGUAUGUGGGACACCUGUGUCAUUUCAGCAGCUGUCUGAAGUUUAACAACAUUUUCCACAAAAAAAGGACAAGUCUGUUCAUCUGCACUCAAAAUAGUUGUAGAUUCACCUCACGUGCUGCUCCCAUUUUCUGUACGGAAAUAAGACUUUUCAAACUGUUGAGAAUUAAAGCCGCUAAUCCCAGGGAUUAAUACAAUUGAGUUUGCUGGAUUUUGGUAAUGCCCUGCUUCCUAAGCUUUGCCCAUUAGGCACCUGCUGCUGUCACACUCGGCUGCCCUCGCAGGAAAUUGCCUGGUUUUACGAGCGAGGGCGUUUGAAAUGCAACACAGAAAAACCGUUCAAACACUCGGACGCCGAACAAAGACAGAAGGUGAAUUUUUGCUGUUCUUGUCCUUCGGCUUCAUGAGACCAAUUACCAGUUCCAGUGUGUGUUUGUCUGCGUGUGUGCGUGAAUCCGUCACUGUGUGUCUGCAGGCAGGUGCGUCAGCAGACCCUGACAGUCAGAUUUCAUGCACCACAGGCUGUGUUACAAACAUUCACACUCAGUCUUGGAGUAGAGACGAUGAUUGGCCCUGCGGCUUCUCCACGAAGCUUUCGCAAACAUUUGAUGAUUUCGAGGAACCUAUUGCGAGGGGGGGCCUCUGGCCAAAGAUUAGCAUGCCUCCUCACCUCACCUCCUUAUAGCAUCAGAAACAGCUACAGGGAUUGUGCUGGCUGUCAGUUUAGAUCCUGUUAGCAUGGUGGGACAGAGACUAACUCACCAGGUAACAGAAGCUCAGAUUGAUUUUUAGACAUUACUUAAAGGGAUAUUCAGGCGUAAAAUUAAGUUAGGGUCAAACGCACUGUAACACCAAGUUAGAUAUCCCGUCGAGAGAUGAAUGUUGCUCACUGCUUGCUUCUCUAGUGUAGCAAUCAAGACAACCCUGUGGGUGAAACUCACACAUUCCUUGCAGGAAAGGUUUCUUAUCUGGUCCCAGGACACAGUUUCAGACUUGUUUGCCCUUUCAGGUUACCUAACUGACCCCACCGGAGGUUGACUGAAAUCUCUGGCAUGAUUGGUCAAUUCGGAGAACAGAGACAGAGUUUUAUUACCUUUCAAACUGACUCCACCGCUGACCAUCUAAAUAAUCAUUCAUGACUCAAUCCAGGUCUCCCAUUUAAGAUUUACUGUCUUAGAAUGUGUGAACACACAGACCUCAAGAAAAGGUCUGAGGAGCAGCACACUGACCUCCAGACCUCGGUCGUAAAAUCUUGCUCAACCAUACUCUGAUAAGAGCUGCAUACCUUUGGAGAAAGAAUACAAAUGACUGAUAAUGACAUCUUAUGCAUUCAGCAAUGUACUAAUCUGUCUAAUCAUGAAAUUUGUGUUAAAAUGAGAUGUUUCCCGUUUUUCUAUGUGUUCCAGACGCCAAGUUAUCACUCUGACAGAAUAAAUCCUUUAUUCUUAAGUUUCUUUAGUCCAACAGCUUGGACUGUUUGUCCAACAGUUUGCCUGAGACCAAACACAACUCACCUACUCUCUUCCAGCAGCCGUUUGUUUGUACGGAGACCCCAGAUGAGUCUAUUACCGACUGCAUUGGGGUGACGCAGCUCAAGGAAGAACAUUUAUGAUUAUUACUUCAUGGAAAUGCAAUCAGACCAAGACGCUAAGGCAGAGGAACUACCGUGUCUGCAGUGCAAAAUGAUUAAUAUGGUGAUUAUUACUUCAAGAAAAUGAUAAAGUAAUGAUCACAAAUGUUCUUCCUUGAGCUGUGUCACCCUGCAGCAGUCCGUAAUGAACUGGCCUGAGGUCUCCCUACAAACAAGCGGCUGCUGGAAGAGAGUGGGUGAGUUGUGUUUAGUCCCUUUGCUAAAGAUAUCAGGCAAAGCUUAAAGAUGUUUGGUGGCUAGUGCCAUGACUGGGACCCUAUAUGUGCUGUUGAUGAAGUUAGGUGCUGUUCUGAGCAUCAUUUAUAGCUAUAGAGUGGCUUUUUGGUUGAGCGCAUGGCUCCCGACACCACUGUGUAUUGCUAUUGUGCGGUUGUUACUAAAGGUGGUAUAACUAGAGAAGCAAGCGGUCGUUAACAUUCAUCUCUCGACAGGGUGUCUAACUUGGUGUUACAGUGUUUUGGACCCUAACUUAAUUUUACGUCUGAAUAUUCCUUUAACAAUUGGAUACAAGGAUACCACAUGUUGCUCCUUUUCCUUGUAGCCCUCACUGAACCCUUUUUAAGAAAGAGCAUGGACUUGCUCAUGUAUGUUUGUUUGUUCUCUGUGUGGGGACAUUUUCAUCCUGCUUUUAAAAUGAACGAGUUUCAGAUGAAAUAACAGAGGCUGCCUUCAAACAAACAAGUAUAAAGAGGGGGCCAAUAGAGAUUUUGCAGUGGCAAGGACACAGUUUUAUUCAUACAAGGCUGUGUCAAGCACAGCCAACACCACUGGAGCACAGACUUGUUUCAGCUGUCACGCUCUGCACAAUGUAGCAGCAGAGGUAAACAGCAGCAGCAUUUAAAUACAAAUGCAAUUUUAUGGGUGUGCAGGGAUUUUUGAUGUGAAGAUUCCUCUAGUAUCAGCCCAAACUUUAAUUUAUACUGAGGCGGAAGGCAGAGAAAAUCAAGGUUUGCUAGAUGUUGACUCUUCAGAUGAUCCAUGUACAUUCAUUACACUCUUCAAAUAUUUCCUCAUGGUCUACCACUUACUAUUGCACUGUAUAAAAAAUCCUCCCAAGACAAACAGCCAGAGUUUGCACUGCUGUGUCAUACAAGGUGCUGCGUCAGUCUACAGUCUACAGUCUUUAGUCUGUAACCAGCUGGUUCCCCAAGUAUGAAUAAGAUUUAAAGCCAAGCUGCAGAGAGCACAACACUCAGCUACUCAUUGCUCAGUGACUACAACUACAGAAACCAAUUUUCUAGCCCCUGCUAAUGCCAGAAACUAUAACAACUUAUACUGUAUUGGUAAUAUCCUGUCAAAAUGAGUUAAAUAAAAAAUCCUGGCAUUACAAGUACCAUUAAUAGUCGAGUUUUAGGAAUUAGCAACCAGUAUAUGAGGAAAUCAGGUGCACUGGACUGAGGGGAACAAGGUUAUUGAGUAUGCACGGUUGUCAUAACCUUUACUUAUGAUGAGGAUUACCUUUAGGAUGAAUGGUUUUUGUCUGCAUGAUGACUCAUGGUUUGACAUCACAUCUGCCUGAGAACUGUUACUACUGUGAAAAAGUAAGCAUGAGUAGACUUGAUCUACCUGUGCUAACAGAUGCAAACAGUGUACCCUUACGGUUCUAUAGGUAAUGCAUCGUAUUCAGGGCUCGACAGUGCGACCAUUUCACUUGCAUUUGUGACUAAAAAUAAAUGUGUGCGAAUUGUAUAAUGUAUUUAGGGGUACAUGUGCGCAUUAAAAAAACUCGCUGAGGCAACAAAAGUUUUUUCAUGUAAAUACCAUGGUGAAGUUAGUUUUAGGUUAGAUAUUAGAUGGACAUUCACUGUGGAGCUACCAGUGUCUUCCCACUCUUCAUAACCAGUUAUAGCAACAGCAGCGUGGUUAAAUCUACUCGGCACCCUCGCAUUCAACGUCCGGUGUUGAAUAAGGGACCAUCAAUAAAUUACCGGUUGAUGUUCUCAGAAAAGGCUGUUUUCCUUUAAUAGCUUCCAUGUCAUGUGACCCAUUGACCUAAAAUUAUUUUCAAAUAAUAGUACUAAUGUCGACCAAUAAGACACACCUCUUUUUUUCCUUAAUUUGUCCUCAUAAUUUUUUGUGUUAAAUUUAAAGGCAAAUUUUGAACAUUUUCUUCAAUAGCUUCCAUGUCAUGUGACCAGAAGAUCUAAAAUUAAUUUCAAAUAAUAGUAUUUACAUCAACCAAUAAGAGCCCUGGUAUUGUAAAACAACACUUCUAAGGUCUUGUACAUUUAACACCUGUGAGGGAAAUGCAUCACCCAACUACACAUACAAAUGUAUCCUCACUUCUUCAAGGCCAAUAAAAAUCAACAGAUGAAAGACUCCAAACAUGAGUUUUAAGUGCUGGACAAGCUGAAGUGCAUCACUACCAGCGCUUCUCCUCUCGAAACAGCCUGACACAGGAUACACAUAUCAUACACACACUUUGCUUAUUCCCUCACACCUGAACCCAUACGUACAUAAAUAGGCCAGAACAAGUUGCCAUUUCUCCCAUGGUUUCCUCUCAUUGUGCUCUGCCAUUAUAAUAUCCAGCCACUUCAUUAAAUCUAUGUUGAUGCCUCUACUGACCCCGUUCUUGUUCCCCCAACUCUCCCCCUUCCCCACCAUCAUUUCCAUGUACGGUGCCCUCAGGGAGGAAAAGGAGUAAUUAGCAUGCUGAUACACAAGCCACUCGUGUUGCCAUAACUAGUUAAAAAGCUAUUUCCACCUCUUGCUACGUUGGCUGAGCCCUGAAGAAGCCUUUGUGGUGCGCGUGUGUGGGGGUGUAUGUGCACGUGUGUGUGUGCUCCAGUGUGUCUCAUAAUGAGGCUGACGUAUCACAGCAGUACAUACUGUUCUUGUCACAUUGAAAGGUAUAACGCUGAUGACAGAUGCUCGCACUAUGUGGUCUAGCACUGACUCAGUCUCUAAUACGUGUCUGUCUGUCUUUUAGUCUCUCUCUUCAUGGGUGCGUGGGGUUGCAUGGUUACAUAAGAAUGCACACACAGAUUCCUGGGAUCUGUUCGUUUGUGUGAGAAAAAGGAGCGAGGGAGCGUUACCAUGACGAUGGCAUUAGAAACCAACCUUACAUCAAACCAUGUGUAUAUUUGUGCCUUUCUCUGGUGCUCUUUUAUUUUUUGAGUGAGUGCGCCUGCUUUCAGACUGUUGCUUUAGAGACAAACUGGAGGAAUACAGGCCCCUAGUGCAAAAACGAAGGAGAGGAGGAAAUUCAUGCUGAGGGGAAGUGUUGGAGCACAGAGGACAGAUCUGCUGGUCAAAAAUGAAACUUGGAAAAGGCAGGACAGGGAGGAAAAACGAGGAUGCACGGGGAGUUAAUUAGAGGGAGGAAGAAGCUGAUUGUGGACCCAGAUGUUUCCAAAUUAUCUGUUGACAACCCCCUCCUCAUCUCUCCCUCUCCUUCAUGCCUUCAAAUUUGUCGUUUUGCCAAUACUGAGAGCAGCUCGUGCACCUCUGCCAAAGCUAUGAGUAAGCCGUGUGUGGGCUUCUGCAUGUGCCUGUUGGAGUGUGCUUGCCUGUGAGUGUGCUGGAGAGUGUUUGCAUAUAUUUUGACCAGACCUCCUCUGAUGAUCUGAUUAUUGGUUGGUUUUGUUAGGGCUCAAAUCCAUGUGUGACUCUCAACGUGGUUCACCUGCUCCUCCAUGACAGUUAGUUAAAGUCAAGAGUUCCCUUUGACUGUUGGGUUAAAAAAAAGAGGCUACUUAAAAUGCUCUUGAAAUGUUUUGGCAACCUCCAGAUAAUUACCUGGACAAAAUAUCAACCAUGAUUGGAUACAAUAAUAUCACAGAUGAUGACCAUCAGAUAAAUGCUGCAUGUCAGGACAUCACAAGUGAUCAGUACAGCCAGGGAAUGGGUACCUAGAUUCCAGCAGGAUCAGCACAUCUCAUUAGCUACAUAGAUCUUACCAAAAAAAUACAAGGAAAUAAUGAGGACUGUAUUCCCUCUUUAUCGAGAAUGAAAAAUAUACUGUGGUUGGAAAACUUUCCAAAGCAAAAGCCCAAUCUUUUUUUUUUUUUUUUUUCUGUGGAGAAACUCCCUGUUUUCACACAGUGCUUUUAUUCUGAAGUUGUGUCUUGGACAGUUGUUUGGUGGGGAAAGCUCUUCAUUUGAGUUUGCAGAAAACUCUGCUGGGAAAACAGUUGUCAUUAUUCGCAUUUGUUGCAGGUAAGCUAUUUUAAUUUUCUAAUAACAUCAGAAAAUAUUUAGCCUUUUGCAUCUCCCUCUGUGCCCCUUUAUAGCUAAACUAGUGUCAAUGUGUGAAACUAAAACCCAUUUAUAAAUCUCAGACAGCUGUUUAAAACCCCAAAGCA
This is a non-coding RNA of Xyrichtys novacula (pearly razorfish), 7122 nucleotides long. Lineage: Eukaryota; Metazoa; Chordata; Actinopteri; Labriformes; Labridae. The record is from the annotation of a GenBank genome assembly.